RNAcentral lists this ribosomal RNA (429 nucleotides) under Chloroflexota bacterium. RNAcentral describes it as "Chloroflexi bacterium partial 16S ribosomal RNA". It matches the Rfam family "Bacterial small subunit ribosomal RNA", at positions 355 to 776 of the family's 1533-position model. Lineage: Bacteria; Bacillati; Chloroflexota. The record is from RNAcentral.
UGGGGAAUAUUGCACAAUGGGCGCAAGCCUGAUGCAGCCAUGCCGCGUGUAUGAAGAAGGCCUUCGGGUUGUAAAGUACUUUCAGCGGGGAGGAAGGGAGUAAAGUUAAUACCUUUGCUCAUUGACGUUACCCGCAGAAGAAGCACCGGCUAACUCCGUGCCAGCAGCCGCGGUAAUACGGAGGGUGCAAGCGUUAAUCGGAAUUACUGGGCGUAAAGCGCACGCAGGCGGUUUGUUAAGUCAGAUGUGAAAUCCCCGGGCUCAACCUCGGAACUGCAUCUGAUACUGGCAAGCUUGAGUCUCGUAGAGGGGGGUAGAAUUCCAGGUGUAGCGGUGAAAUGAGUAGAGAUCUAGAGGAAUACCGGUGGCGAAGGCGGCCCCCUGGACGAAGACUGACGCUCAGGUGCGAAAGCGUGGGGAGCAAACAGG